GCUGGCGGCAGUAGCGCGGUGGUCCCACCUGACCCCAUGCCGAACUCAGAAGUGAAACGCCGUAGCGCCGAUGGUAGUGUGGGGUCUCCCCAUGCGAGAGUAGGGAACUGCCAGAC
This 116-nucleotide ribosomal RNA is filed under the name Escherichia coli. The record is from RNAcentral. Lineage: Bacteria; Pseudomonadati; Pseudomonadota; Gammaproteobacteria; Enterobacterales; Enterobacteriaceae.